AUUUAAUGUGGAGGGUCAACCUAAUAAGGUUAGCACUACACUGGCAUAUACAGCAAGAAUCAGCUGAUUCAUGGAGUACUAAAAGUCCCCUGGAUAGCCGCAAGUAAGUGGUCAUUCCGUUAAAAGGGUAAAAAUUAUCAGAAAGGAAUGUGAUGAAUAAAGGGAAAUUAUUUAAAGACCAAAUCCCAUAUAUACACCAGGAUCUGCAAAAGAUUGUUUAUAGGCAUGUUGAUUG
Molecule: unclassified non-coding RNA, 235 nt
Filed under: Hevea brasiliensis (rubber tree)
Lineage: Eukaryota; Viridiplantae; Streptophyta; Magnoliopsida; Malpighiales; Euphorbiaceae
Source: RNAcentral